Molecule: ribosomal RNA, 255 nt
Filed under: Triticum aestivum (bread wheat)
Lineage: Eukaryota; Viridiplantae; Streptophyta; Magnoliopsida; Poales; Poaceae
Description: partial small subunit ribosomal RNA
Source: RNAcentral
AUGGAUCUGGCCAUGGGGGCCAUGGGCUCCCUCCUCCACAAACUGGGCGAGGUCAUCAAGGACGAGUACAAGCUACAGAAGGGAGUCAAGAGAAAGGUCAAAUCCUUCUCUGCCGAGCUGGAUAUUAUGCGUGCUGCCCUCGGCAAGGUGGCAGAGGUGCCGCGGGAUGAGCUCGACGAUCAGAUCAACAUGUACUGCUUGUGUGUGUCGGUCAAGUCUUUCAAUGGGCCAAGCCCAAAAAAGAGUGCAAAAUAA